RNAcentral lists this unclassified non-coding RNA (355 nucleotides) under soil metagenome. RNAcentral describes it as "partial contains 5.8S ribosomal RNA, internal transcribed spacer 2, and large subunit ribosomal RNA". The stretch from base 1 to 120 matches the Rfam family "5.8S ribosomal RNA", at positions 35 to 154 of the family's 154-position model. The record is from RNAcentral.
GAUGAAGAACGUAGCGAAAUGCGAUAAGUAAUGUGAAUUGCAGAAUCCAGUGAAUCAUCGAAUCUUUGAACGCACAUUGCGCCCAUUAGUAUUCUAGUGGGCAUGCCUGUUCGAGCGUCAUUAAGUCCACUUAAGCCCUGCUUAGUGUUGGGAGACUGCUCCAGCGGUGCUACCAUGUAGCUACCCUGCAGCUCCUCAAAGACAGCGGCGGAGUUGUGGUAUCCUCUGAGCUUAGUAACUUGUUCUAGCUUUCGAGUACACCACUUCCCCUGCCGUAAAACCCUUAAUUUUUAAUGGUUGACCUCGGAUCAGGUAGGAAUACCCGCUGAACUUAAGCAUAUCAAUAAGCGGAGGA